Eucalyptus grandis is the source of this 558-nucleotide long non-coding RNA. RefSeq lists it as uncharacterized. NCBI's taxonomy places the organism in Eukaryota, Viridiplantae, Streptophyta, Magnoliopsida, Myrtales, Myrtaceae. The transcript is spliced from 4 exons. The record is from RefSeq and is a predicted model, not a curated record.
GGGGCCUUUGACAGUUGAGGCUUUUUUGUGCAGUAGCAAAUAUGGGAAGGACAUGGAUAGAUAUGAAGAAUACAGUAAAGCAGUACCAGCAAUAUUGGUGGCUGCUUUCACUCUCUCUUUUGUGACGAAGCUCAACUUGCAGGAGAAUAUGCACUUGAUAGAUUAUGUCAUUGCAAGCGAAUGGGUUCAACCUCAGUGGCUGAAAUUUUUGUUUGCCUCGCUUUAUAACCUCAGCAUCCUCUUUUAUAGGAAUAAGCAAGUAGAAGAGGAGCAAGGAUUUGUAAGGAAUGGACAUGCUGAUAAAUGGGAAAGGGUUCACCAAAUUCGAGAUAAGUUUGAAUAUGAUAGAGAGAGAAUCUGUGCAAAAAGAUGGCUCCUCCUCUUGUUACGUUACUCUCUGCAGAACCAGAGAUACAUUAUGUUGCCUUAAGAAAUAUCAACCUCAUUGUCCAAAGGCGGCCUACUAUUCUCGCCCAUGAAAUUAAGGUGUUUUUCUGCAAGUACAGUGACCCAAUUUAUGUGAAGAUGGAGUAGUUAGAAAUCAUGAUAAAGCUUGCU